AUCCGAGCAUUCGUUCGUUAAUUGCGUACAGCUCAUUCAUCAGUGAUAAUCUCUUUGAAUAUGAUUUCUAUAAGGAUAUCGAUAGAAACACUAGCUCUAAUACUUGCUUUUAGACUGUCAUUUACUUGGCGGUUGUAUUUAUUAGAUUUAAUCAACCUCAUAGUUUCGGCUAUGUUUUGGUGAUUCCUACUAACUGUUCGGACCACNNNNNNNNNAUUCGUGUGGCAGUUCAUUCGAGUUUCUGUGGUAUUAGCUGUGAUGGUAGUGUAUUGGACUACCAUGGCAUUGAUGCCAACGGGGUGCUAGAGCACGACACCGGAGAACUUAGCCUUAGAGACGGCUAGUAUCACCAAGGUAAGCAGCAGGCGCGAAAAUUACUCUAUUUAGACACAAAGAAGUAGUGACCACCAAUACAGAUAUUAUAAGCUUCGGUUUGUAAUAAUCUGAAUGAGACCAAUGUAAAUAUCUUCAACGAAAGCUAGAGGAGGGCAAGUCCGGUGCCAGCAGCCGCGGUAAUUCCGGCUCCUUCAGCCUGAGGUAGAAUUGUUGUAGUUAAAACGCUCGUAGUUGGAUUUUGUAAGAGUUUUGUGUGUGUCGGUUGCGUAUAUAUUCGUAUAUUCGUGAUUCUUCAUGCCACUUUUAUACUGAUUGUGGAUAAUUUUCGGAUUAUUUGCAAUAUUACUGUGAGAAAAAGAGUGCGCUUAAGGGCGGCUUUAUGCUAAGAUCAUUUAGCAUGGAAUAAACAUAACGGACUUUGGUUUUGUUAUGUGUUGGUUCAAUAUCAAGUCAUGAUUGAUAAGGAUGGUUUGGGGAUGUUCGUAUUUAUACUCGAGGGGUGAAAUCUUUUGACAGUAUAAGGACGAUCUUUAGCAAAAGCAUUCAUCAAUUCCAUACCUUUUAAUCAAGAACGAAAGUUGGGGGAUCGAAAGUGAUUAGAUACCACUGUAGUCUCAACCAUAAACGAUGUCAACUAUGGAUUCGUUUUGAUCAUAUUUGAGGCUUCCGAGCUUCAAUUUCGACGAAAUGAGAACAUUGUGAGAAAUCAAAGUUUUUAGACUCUAGGGAGAGUAUGAGUGGCAAUACUGAAAUUUAAAGGAAUUGACGGAAGUGGUACCACAAGGAGUGGAGCUUGCGGCUUAAUUUGACUCAACGCGGGAAACUUUACCAGUGCCGAACAUUGUGAGGAUGGACAGAUUGCAGUUCUUUCCUGAUUCUGUGCUUUUACGUAGUGCAUGGCCUUUGGGAAGUGAGUGGAUUGAUUUUUCUGAUUAAUUUCGAUAACUAGCGAGACCUCGAUCAUGUNAUUGGAGCAUCACAGUCUCGAUGUAUGUAUGCUCCUCUUAGUGAGACAAUUGGUGGUAUAGCCAAAUGAAGUACGAGGCGAUAAAAGGUCCGUGAUGCUCUUAGAUGUUCUGGGCUGCACGCGCGCUACACUGAUUCUUUCAUCAAGUAUUGUAUGCAAUUGUUCGCAAUUUCAUAUCCUGUAUAGAGAUAUAUGGGCAAUCUUGCAAAGAGAAUCGUGCUGGGGAUAGAUGAUUGCAAUUAUUCAUCUUGAACGAGGAAUUCCUAGUAAACACAUGUCAUCAGCAUGUAUUGAAUACGUCAAUGCCCUUUGUACACACCGCCCGUCGCUGUUACCGAUUGAAUGGCUUAGUGAAAUGUGAGGAGGUUGUUUUUAAUAGCUGAAUCACCUUAAACUGCGUCAUUAGAGGAAGCAAAGUNACCU
RNAcentral lists this ribosomal RNA (1726 nucleotides) under Helkesimastix marina. RNAcentral's name for it is "bacterial SSU rRNA". It matches the Rfam family "Eukaryotic small subunit ribosomal RNA". Lineage: Eukaryota; Cercozoa; Helkesimastigidae. The record is from RNAcentral.